GAACCAGGUCAGAAAGGCAGUAAAGGUGACAAGGGAGAAAACGGUCCUCCUGGGCCACCAGGUCUUCAAGGUCCUGUUGGUGCCCCUGGUAUAGCUGGAGGUGAUGGAGAGCCAGGUCCCCGCGGUCAACAAGGCAUGUUUGGGCAGAAAGGUGAUGAAGGUUCUCGAGGUUUCCCUGGUCCUCCAGGCCCUAUUGGUCUUCAGGGUUUACCUGGCCCACCAGGUGAAAAGGGAGAAAAUGGUGAUGUUGGCCCAAUGGUAAGGGUUUCUUUUCUUGUUCAUUAUAAAUGCCAUAAAAAAAAAUUGUUUGCUAUUGAUUUACUGAUGUCUUAUAA
RNAcentral lists this long non-coding RNA (335 nucleotides) under Crocodylus porosus (Australian saltwater crocodile). RNAcentral describes it as "lncRNA (ENSCPRG00005014302.1)". Lineage: Eukaryota; Metazoa; Chordata; Crocodylia; Crocodylidae. The record is from RNAcentral.